This 397-nucleotide unclassified non-coding RNA is filed under the name Hevea brasiliensis (rubber tree). The record is from RNAcentral. Lineage: Eukaryota; Viridiplantae; Streptophyta; Magnoliopsida; Malpighiales; Euphorbiaceae.
GGGGAUGUCAACAUCAUUGGACAAAAUUUCAUGACUGGCUAUCACGUAAUAUUUGAUCGGGAGAAGAUGGUUUUGGGUUGGAAAGCCUCUGAUUGUUAUGAUUCUGGAGAAUCAAACGAUAGAUCAACAACUCUGCCCGUGAACAAGCGCAAUUCUACCGAAGCGCCUUCGCCUGCCAGUGUGGUGCCCGAGGCCACCAAGGGAAAUGCAAGUGCAAAUGAACCCGCUACAUCGUUCCCAUCUGUUCCAUCAUCUAGACCUGCAGGAAACCAUGCACCACAUUUGAAUUCCUUCUAUUACCAACUUAUGAUGGCUAUAUUUUCCUUUUUCAACUAUUAUUUGAUUAUUAUUUCUUCUUGAGGCUUUUAUUUGUCCUCUGUAUAAUAUUGAGUUCUGU